CCACCCAAUUGAACGAUCAAGAUAAAAAAUGAAUUGAUGAUAGCUUGACCCUAGUCAUCUAUUUGUCUCACAACAGCAUCAACAAUGAAAGUGGUAGGUAAAGCCAAAACAAAACUUAAACAAGAAUAAUCUCUAACUUAAUUAUGCCAAAUUAAUCAGUCCCCUUUCUUGCUUUUCUUGAUAUGCAGAGAGAAAGAGAGCGUGGUGUGCAUGAGUGAGUGUGUUUUGUGAGAAACGAGGGAGUGAAAAGGGGAUUUUAGUGCGAGGAACGCAAGAAAAGACUGAGGGAGAUGGUGGGUUUGCAUCAGAAACGAGGGAGAAGUGAAGAAUAACUAUGAUGAUUCUUUGAUCUUCCUUCUGAAUAUAUAUGCUAUUUGCUAUAUAUGCAGCCUCCGUUCCCAAUAAGAAUGAUAUGAUCUAUCUUAUCUGAUUUUAUUUGUCCGUCUUUUCCACUCUGAAACAAACCGUCACUCUUCCUCCGUAAUUAAUUACCCCCAUCGGCCUCCAUCAUCUCAACUCUCUCUUCUCUCACUCACUUAUUUACUGUUCUUCACAUCUUAAAUAGAACCCAUCUGUCGUCUUUACAGUCUUCUUAUUUGUUGUGGCUCCCUACCUCUCAUCUUGUUCGUGUGAGUUUGUUUAUGGUGUGUUUCACAAGGACAGUUGUUGAUUUCAUGCGGGUUUAACAAAGGGCUUCUUACAGAGGUUAUUGGCAUUCUGUCCACCUCCCAUCAAUUGAAAUCAUUAUUCUCUUUCUUCGAGUUGGAGGUGGGCAUACUGCCAACUGAGCUCUGUUGGUUUCUCUUUGUAAAGCCCUCGUGAUUUAUCCCUCCAGCUUUUAUCUCAUGUUCUGCGAUAAAGAGCAAGUGACUGUUUCUGGCGAUCCUGGAUAUCUAUUUGAUAACCUCAACUUUACUAUUUGUUUUCCGGAGGAAAAAAAGGAAAAAAAAAAGCUUCCAAAAUCAUCACUUUUAUCAGUACCUUCAUCUUUUUCACCUGAUCGCUAUUUUUUUUUUCAGGGUUAAGAGGUAACUACAACUUUGUGAAUGACUUUUUAUUACUCGGGCAAGCUACUUUGAAACCCUAGUUUUAUGUUUCCACCGACCCGGUACUUGAGAUUACCUCUUUUUUUUUUUUUUUACAAUUUUCCGAUCUAGGGUUUCAUCAGUCUCGUCUGGAAAACCAUUAUAUUUCUCAUAUCUAGCGCUUUACUCCGAAAGAUCUGUUUCUUUUGAGAUCAAUUUUUAUCCUACAAUUCAUACUACAUAUAAACUUUUGUCAGAACUCAUGAGGCCUAAAUGAUAUCUUCCAUUGAAGAAAUCUGAAACCAGAUUUUGUCUUACUGCAUCUAUAUCUUCAAAUCUUUGUAAAUUGUGUUGAUUACAAUUAGAGAAAUAGAUUUUUGGAUUCAUGGCUUCAUGCAUGACUGCCACCAUUUUUACCAUGUCAGUCAUUUUAGUUAAUUAUUAUUAGUACUUAUUAAAAUUAAUCAUCAAACUUCUGUAUAGGCAGCCCUAGUCCUGUAUACGUUUUUAUACAGUCCGAACUCAUCUACGUAGCCUCAUGAUUGAAGACUGACAACGCUAUUUAAUAUGUUCAAACUAACCUUGUCCCACUCUCACAUCUCUGGACAUUUGGCAGCAUCGAGAGGUUGUUGGGUCGUGAGUUUCACGAAGGCUUGAAGCGGGUGGAUGAAGUUAGGUUAGGCUCCUUUAAGGCGGGGCUGAGGCGCUGAGCGCUAGCCCACUGGGGGGUCCCUGGUUAGUUGUGGUUGCUAUUAUUUCGUCGGAGUCAAAUAGUCAAAGCAUUUUAAACUUCGUCAAGUGUACGAUUCAUCUACAACUGGAAGAAGAAUAAAGGAAUGCCUUGUAAUUCCCUGUACUAUUUUCCAGUAUAGUUUUGGUCUCUUAUCGUGUUAACAUAGAAUUCCAAUUGUGCUCACAGUCGAGAUUAAACAGUAGUUAAUGUUCACAUUAGUUAUACACAUUACGCCAAAACUCAAAUUCUUAUCAUGUUGUGAUUGUUCAAGAAUUUUAAGAUAUUGUGUUCAGAUACCUAGUUAAGAAACGAACAUGUUCUCCAA
Mangifera indica (mango) is the source of this 2083-nucleotide long non-coding RNA. RefSeq lists it as uncharacterized. The transcript has 2 exons. The record is from RefSeq and is a predicted model, not a curated record. Lineage: Eukaryota; Viridiplantae; Streptophyta; Magnoliopsida; Sapindales; Anacardiaceae.